GUGCUGCUGCUGUUGCUGCUACGAGGCCUGCGAGUGCUGUGUGGAGUGCUGCUGCUGCGCUGCUUGAAGAAAUGGUUGAACUGGGAAAGAAAAAGGAAGGUUUCUUUGUUUAAUUAUUAUCAUUCGUGAAUUGAUAUUGAAGAAUUCCACUCAAAAGCUGAAAAUUGUCCAGUCAUAAGUUAUUCUACUUUUAUUAAUGUAAAGUUCUUUGUUUGUUAGAUUUCAUCUGUUUGAGAUAGUUUGUGCUCCUUGCAUUGUUGAUGUUAUGUUUGUAAGAAGUAAGAUCUUUUUUGGGUGAUAGUGCUCCUUUGCACUGAUUUGUGUCAAAAGAAGAUCUGCCCCUUUGAUGGACAGAAUCUGCUUUAGUUUUCUGGUCAAGCUCUUUUUCCCUGCCUCUUUUUGAGCCCAAAG
This 411-nucleotide unclassified non-coding RNA is filed under the name Hevea brasiliensis (rubber tree). The record is from RNAcentral. Lineage: Eukaryota; Viridiplantae; Streptophyta; Magnoliopsida; Malpighiales; Euphorbiaceae.